RNAcentral lists this transfer RNA (84 nucleotides) under Fasciola hepatica (liver fluke). It matches the Rfam family "tRNA". From Rfam's summary of the family: Transfer RNA (tRNA) molecules are approximately 80 nucleotides in length. Their secondary structure includes four short double-helical elements and three loops (D, anti-codon, and T loops). The record is from Rfam by way of RNAcentral. Lineage: Eukaryota; Metazoa; Platyhelminthes; Trematoda; Plagiorchiida; Fasciolidae.
GGCCUCGUAGCUCAGCUGGUAGAGCACUCGCGGUACUGAAUCGAAGGUGGUAACCAUGUAUGGGUUCGUAUCCUGCCGGGGCCA